UGGGGGGGGGGGGGGCUAGGAUGAAAAAUUUUGUCCUGCAUUUUUUUGUAGCUGUAAUCUCUGUCCUGCCUUUUUAUUUUUCACUCUGUUCGGUCCUGCCUUUUUUUUUUAGUUUAUCCAGACUUUUUUUUAACUACAUUGUCGUCCUGACUUUUUUUUUGCAAGUGUCUCAUCCUGCCUUUUUUUUUACUCAAAACUCCUGUCCUGCCUAUUUUUUUCAAAUUUCAUCCUAGCCCCCCCCCCCCCCCCCCCCCCCCCCCCCCCCCUAAAAAUCAAAUGGUAGCUCCCUUA
RNAcentral lists this long non-coding RNA (291 nucleotides) under Mytilus galloprovincialis (Mediterranean mussel). The record is from RNAcentral. Lineage: Eukaryota; Metazoa; Mollusca; Bivalvia; Mytilida; Mytilidae.